RNAcentral lists this ribosomal RNA (454 nucleotides) under uncultured bacterium. RNAcentral's name for it is "bacterial SSU rRNA". It matches the Rfam family "Bacterial small subunit ribosomal RNA", at positions 29 to 524 of the family's 1533-position model. The record is from RNAcentral.
AACGAACGCUGGCGGCAGGCUUAACACAUGCAAGUCGAACGCUCGUAGCAAUACGGGAGUGGCGGACGGGGUGAGUAACGCGUGGGAACGUGCCCUGAGGUACGGAAUAACUGAGGGAAACUUCAGCUAAUACCGUAUGAGCCCCGAGAGGGGGAAAGAUUUAUCGCCUUGGGAGCGGCCCGCGUCGGAUUAGCUAGUUGGUGGGGUAACGGCCUACCAAGGCUUCGAUCCGUAGCUGGUCUGAGAGGACGAUCAGCCACACUGGGACUGAGACACGGCCCAGACUCCUACGGGAGGCAGCAGUGGGGAAUCUUGCGCAAUGGGGGCAACCCUGACGCAGCCAUGCCGCGUGAACGAUGAAGGCCUUAGGGUUGUAAAGUUCUUUUACCCGUGACGAUGAUGACGGUAACGGGGAAUAAGCUCCGGCUAACUUCGUGCCAGCAGCCGCGGUAAU